AUUGAACGCUGGCGGAAUGCUUUACACAUGCAAGUCGAACGGUAGAGGGGGCAACCCCUCGAGAGUGGCGAACGGGUGAGUAAUAUAUCGGAACGUGCCCAGUCGUGGGAGAUAACGUAGCGAAAGUUACGCUAAUACCGCAUACGAUCUAAGGAUGAAAGCGGGGGAUCGCAAGACCUCGCGCGAUUGGAGCGGCCGAUAUCAGAUUAGGUAGUUGGUGGGGUAAAGGCUCACCCAGCCAACGAUCUGUAGCUGGUCUGAGAGGACGACCAGACACACUGGAACUGGGACGCGGGCCAGACUCCGACGGGAGGCAGCAGUGGGGAAUUUUGGACGAUGGACGCAAGUCUGAUCCAGCCAUUCCGCGUGCAGGAUGGAGGCCCUCGGGUUGUAAACUGCUUUUGUACGGAACGAAAAGGUCUCUCUUAAUACGGGGGGCUCAUGACGGUACCGUAAGAAUAAGCACCGGCUAACUACGUGCCAGCCGCGGCCGUAA
Molecule: ribosomal RNA, 496 nt
Filed under: uncultured bacterium
Lineage: Bacteria
Description: partial 16S ribosomal RNA
Rfam family: Bacterial small subunit ribosomal RNA
Source: RNAcentral